This 440-nucleotide ribosomal RNA is filed under the name uncultured bacterium. RNAcentral describes it as "partial 16S ribosomal RNA". It matches the Rfam family "Bacterial small subunit ribosomal RNA", at positions 338 to 795 of the family's 1533-position model. The record is from RNAcentral.
CCUACGGGUGGCAGCAGUAGGGAAUUUUGCGCAAUGGGCGAAAGCCUGACGCAGCAACGCCGCGUGAUCGAGACGCCCUUCGGGGUGUAAAGAUCUGUCAGUGGGGACGAAACUUGACGGUACCCACAGAGGAAGCACCGGCUAACUCCGUGCCAGCAGCCGCGGUAAUACGGGGGGUGCAAGCGUUGUCCGGAAUCAUUGGGCGUAAAGAGUUCGUAGGCGGCACGUAAAGUCUGGUGUUAAAGGCAGAGGCUCAACUUCUGUACGGCACUGGAUACUUGCGAGCUAGAAUGCGGUAGAGGUAAAGGGAAUUCCUGGUGUAGCGGUGAAAUGCUUAGAUAUCAGGAGGAACAUCGGUGGCGAAAGCGGCUCUCUGGUCUGUAACUGACGCUGAGGUUCGAAAGCGUGGGUAGCAAACAGGAUUAGAUACCCGAGUAGUC